RNAcentral lists this small RNA (344 nucleotides) under Histoplasma ohiense. RNAcentral describes it as "hypothetical lncRNA". The record is from RNAcentral. Lineage: Eukaryota; Fungi; Ascomycota; Eurotiomycetes; Onygenales; Ajellomycetaceae.
AGGUUUUGGAAAUUUACUUGCCGAAAAGUCCACGAGGAUGCCCGUUACGAUUGGCAUCGACGACCCAAAAUAUUGGGAGUGCGAGAAUAUGUUGUAUGAGGAGCUUUUGCUACCCAUCAUCUAUCCUGACUUUCAAAAGCCAAGUUAUCACCAAGUCCUGUUGCGGGCCACUGGCGGGACGUAUUUCUUCGACUUCGGCGACGACUCAUCGAAAACCCCGCCUCGCAGAAGCGCUCGACUUGUGAAAUUGCAUCAAAAAGUUGCAGCGAAGGAUGCUGCACCGCAAUGUGCAACGACUGUCCCAACCGACGAAGGUCGUACGAAGAAAAGGAAAAAAGACCAAG